RNAcentral lists this long non-coding RNA (1146 nucleotides) under Mytilus galloprovincialis (Mediterranean mussel). The record is from RNAcentral. Lineage: Eukaryota; Metazoa; Mollusca; Bivalvia; Mytilida; Mytilidae.
AAAAUGAAAGUUAUAUAUAUUUUGAGAUUUACACUAUAUAUAAUAUUACGAGUUUAUCAAGGUAUGAGACUUCCAAAUAGAAUUUGGUUUGUAUUAUUUGUUUAUUAUCAGUAUAAUAAUAGAUAUAAAAGAUAGGUAGUAAAUUCAUCUAGUUGUAAUUGUUGGCUAGAUGAGCUGUUGACCUACUUUACGUAAUUAAUUAUAGCUUAUUUAGCGUAGAUUUAUCACAGACCCUGGCGGAUCUAGAAAUUUCAUAAAGUAGGGGCCCGCUCUUGUCAUUUUUCAGUGAUUCCACAGUGGCGGAUUCAAAAGGGGUAAGAUUUUUUGUUCCCUAUAUAGUCUCCCCUUUUUGUCCUGGGUUAGGAACCUCUUUUUAAAAUGGCUUGAUCCGCCUGUGUUCCCAGGGGCGCAUGCAGGAAUUUUCGAAAGGGGGGGGGCUAACCCAGGGCACCCAGGGCAAGGGGGGGGGGUGCAAAACAUGUCCCGAUACAAAUGCAUUGAUCGGCAAAAAUAAAGGGGGGUGCGCACCCCCGGAAACCCCCCCCCCUGGAUCCGCCACUGGUUCCCUUUAUAUUCAACCAUUUUUUUUUAGAAAUAAUUAAAACCCUGCGAGGUUAUAUUAGAGAAAUUAGGUGUCAAACACCAAAGUAGGCACGGGGUUUAAGUAUGCAUUUCCCUGCAAAAAUAUUAUAUUUUUCUAUGAAAAAAUUAUUUGUUCAUUGAAUUAUUCUUAAAGGCUUUUAUAUUAUCUUUCAGAUGCACAAAAAAUUAGCUCAAUGGCGUUUAUUUUAGUUAAAUACCGACACUUCGAAAUUUGGAAACGUAUAUAUACGCCUCUUUAACAGGUCGAGAACUCUAGAUUUCUUUACGUCAGAAUAUAUUUGCAUAGUAAUUUCCCAAACACAAGGCCAAUACGGCCUUAAAAAACUGACCAAUCGAUUCAAUGAGCUACAAUGCAUUGUGGGCUACUACGAGUUUACUACAACCGAAAAACACGUGGAAUUAGUGGAAGAACUGUCAACUAAUAUAGUGUCUGGGAUUCUCAAAAUGUAUGUUUUUGUUCUGCGAAUGUGAUUAUUGUAAAAUAUAUAACAUAAUCUUUAAUUUGCAUGCUCAGAAUAAAAAAGUAUUGUUUACGGGCUUCAC